This is a ribosomal RNA of Colletes gigas, 121 nucleotides long. The record is from RefSeq and is a predicted model, not a curated record. Lineage: Eukaryota; Metazoa; Arthropoda; Insecta; Hymenoptera; Colletidae.
AACAACGCUCAUACCACGCUGGGAAACACCGGUUCUCGUCCGAUCACCGAAGUUAAGCAGCGUUGGGCGCAUUUAGUACUUGGAUGGGUGACCGCUUGGGAACAGUGCGUAGUUGUUGGCU